This 68-nucleotide transfer RNA is filed under the name Marmota monax (woodchuck). Its description in RNAcentral is "tRNA.Ala". The stretch from base 5 to 65 matches the Rfam family "tRNA", at positions 6 to 65 of the family's 71-position model. Rfam says of the family: Transfer RNA (tRNA) molecules are approximately 80 nucleotides in length. The record is from RNAcentral. Lineage: Eukaryota; Metazoa; Chordata; Mammalia; Rodentia; Sciuridae.
GGUUUGUGGCUCAGUGGUAGAGCGAUUGCCUAGCAUGCAUGAGGCACUAGGUUUGAUCCCUGGCACCA